Populus euphratica (Euphrates poplar) is the source of this 377-nucleotide long non-coding RNA. RefSeq lists it as uncharacterized. The transcript is spliced from 5 exons. Lineage: Eukaryota; Viridiplantae; Streptophyta; Magnoliopsida; Malpighiales; Salicaceae. The record is from RefSeq and is a predicted model, not a curated record.
CGGUAAUCAGCUUCUGGUGGGAUUCCUUCAACGCUGGGGAAAUUACAGCAUCUCAAGUAUUUGUACCUUUCAAGCAAUUCGUUGACCGGGUCUAUACCUCCAAGCCUGACAAAGUUGCAGAAUCUGGAAUAUCUGGAUCUUUCCAGCAACGAUCUUGAUGGCACCAUCCCUUCGAAUCUGAAGGGUCUACAAUCGCUUCGUAUAUUGGAUCUUUCCCGGAAUAACUUGAAUGGGCCAAUACCAGACAGCAUAAUAUUGUCAAAACUUGACAGUGAUCUGUGCCGACCGCAACUUCCUCAGUGGUACUAUAAACGAAAAUUUGGGCACACUCUCUUCACUUCAAUCUCUGUAAGUUAUAUUCAUUAUACUUCAAGUAA